ACGCUGGCGGCAGGCCUAACACAUGCAAGUCGAGCGGUAGAGAGAAGCUUGCUUCUCUUGAGAGCGGCGGACGGGUGAGUAAUGCCUAGGAAUCUGCCUGGUAGUGGGGGAUAACGUUCGGAAACGGACGCUAAUACCGCAUACGUCCUACGGGAGAAAGCAGGGGACCUUCGGGCCUUGCGCUAUCAGAUGAGCCUAGGUCGGAUUAGCUAGUUGGUGGGGUAAUGGCUCACCAAGGCGACGAUCCGUAACUGGUCUGAGAGGAUGAUCAGUCACACUGGAACUGAGACACGGCCCAGACUCCUACGGGAGGCAGCAGUGGGGAAUAUUGGACAAUGGGCGAAAGCCUGAUCCAGCCAUGCCGCGUGUGUGAAGAAGGUCUUCGGAUUGUAAAGCACUUUAAGUUGGGAGGAAGGGCAGUAAAUUAAUACUUUGCUGUUUUGACGUUACCGACAGAAUAAGCACCGGCUAACUCUGUGCCAGCAGCCGCGGUAAUACAGAGGGUGCAAGCGUUAAUCGGAAUUACUGGGCGUAAAGCGCGCGUAGGUGGUUCGUUAAGUUGGAUGUGAAAUCCCCCGGCUCAACCUGGGAACUGCAUUCAAAACUGACGAGCUAGAGUAUGGUAGAGGGUGGUGGAAUUUCCUGUGUAGCGGUGAAAUGCGUAGAUAUAGGAAGGAACACCAGUGGCGAAGGCGACCACCUGGACUGAUACUGACACUGAGGUGCGAAAGCGUGGGGAGCAAAC
This 745-nucleotide ribosomal RNA is filed under the name uncultured bacterium. RNAcentral's name for it is "bacterial SSU rRNA". It matches the Rfam family "Bacterial small subunit ribosomal RNA", at positions 33 to 773 of the family's 1533-position model. The record is from RNAcentral.